Mustela erminea (ermine) is the source of this 482-nucleotide long non-coding RNA. RefSeq lists it as uncharacterized. The transcript has 3 exons. The record is from RefSeq and is a predicted model, not a curated record. NCBI's taxonomy places the organism in Eukaryota, Metazoa, Chordata, Mammalia, Carnivora, Mustelidae.
CCUUCUCAGAGGCAGCAAGAGAGUGGAAAAAUAAGAUAUUUUUGUCUCGUUGCACAAAGUUUACCUUAUUGAAGAUUUGAGGUCAAAAGCUAGCGAGUCCCUGCAGAGAUGCCAUCAGAUCUCUGCGACAUCACAGCCUGAGAGUUCCAAGCCCUGUGUCCUCAGGUGAGGCCACGGUGGACAUCAGCGCCUACGGAUGUAAAGUCCCAGAGGUUCGGCCAUCUCCUGGUCAGAUCUGCGGGAAGCUCUGUGGUUUGACCUCAUAACCUGGCUCACUAGAAGCUCCCGCGGAGUUGAUAAAUCCGAUUUUGAAUGUGUGAUCUGAGUCCCAGCCGAGCCACCAAGCAGUAGAUCUGGCCGCCCUAGCCUGCUGCUUUCUGAUCUCUAUAAUGGGUCUAUGGCACUGCUGCCAUGUUACAGAGAGAGACACGAAUUGUGAAAGAAAGCACUGUGUGAACUCUGAGUGUUGAGCAUUGUCUGUU